UCCACCAACCGGAAGAGUUCGGGAAAGGUUUAAAGGAGACACCGCCUGUACAUUGUGAGCCACGCGGCAGAGCAGUUCUCCUGGGUUUCCUUACCCUGCUGCUCUCCACCCGGGGGCCCUUUCCCAAUAAAAUCUCUUGCUCUGUCAGCACAUAUGUCUCCUCAGACAAUUCAUUUCCAAGUAUUAGGCAAGAGCCCAGUUUCGGGUCCUGGAAGGGGUCCCUCUUCCUGCAACAAAUGGUGUCUCUGGCGGAGACUCUUCUUCACCAAGACUGACAUCCUAACCACUUGGGGUACUCAGGGGCCAGCUUGCCUGCCAAUGGACCAGACCCAGCGGCCGCAACUGGGACCCUUUUGUCCCUGGUCUCCUCCUGACGUGGACAACUGGCCAGAGUGCCCCAACCGAUCAGAUGCCUCAUGA
RNAcentral lists this long non-coding RNA (420 nucleotides) under Capra hircus (goat). Its description in RNAcentral is "lncRNA (ENSCHIG00000007387.1)". Lineage: Eukaryota; Metazoa; Chordata; Mammalia; Artiodactyla; Bovidae. The record is from RNAcentral.